This 71-nucleotide transfer RNA is filed under the name Ovis aries (sheep). It matches the Rfam family "tRNA". From Rfam's summary of the family: Transfer RNA (tRNA) molecules are approximately 80 nucleotides in length. Their secondary structure includes four short double-helical elements and three loops (D, anti-codon, and T loops). The record is from Rfam by way of RNAcentral. Lineage: Eukaryota; Metazoa; Chordata; Mammalia; Artiodactyla; Bovidae.
UCCCUGAUGGCUCAGUGGUAAAGAGCCUGCCUGCAAUGCAGGAGACCUGGGCUCAAUCCCUGUGUUGGGAA